GAGUAACACGUGGAGAACCUGCCCCCUCCCCCGGGAUAGCCGCCCGAAAGGACGGGUAAUACCGGAUACCCCGGGGUGCCGCAUGGCACCCCGGCUAAAGCCCCGACGGGAGGGGAUGGCUCCGCGGCCCAUCAGGUAGACGGCGGGGUGACGGCCCACCGUGCCGACAACGGGUAGCCGGGUUGAGAGACCGACCGGCCAGAUUGGGACUGAGACACGGCCCAGACUCCUACGGGAGGCAGCAGUGGGGAAUCUUGCGCAAUGGGGGGAACCCUGACGCAGCGACGCCGCGUGCGGGACGGAGGCCUUCGGGUCGUAAACCGCUUUCAGCAGGGAAGAGUCAAGACUGUACCUGCAGAAGAAGCCCCGGCUAACUACGUGCCAGCAGCCGCGGUAAUACGUAGGGGGCGAGCGUUAUCCGGAUUCAUUGGGCGUAAAGCGCGCGUAGGCGGCCCGGCAGGCCGGGGGUCGAAGCGGGGGGCUCAACCCCCCGAAGCCCCCGGAACCUCCGCGGCUUGGGUCCGGUAGGGGAGGGUGGAACACCCGGUGUAGCGGUGGAAUGCGCAGAUAUCGGGUGGAACACCGGUGGCGAAGGCGGCCCUCUGGGCCGAGACCGACGCUGAGGCGCGAAAGCUGGGGGAGCGAACAGGAUUAGAUACCCUGGUAGUCCCAGCCGUAAACGAUGGACGCUAGGUGUGGGGGGACGAUCCCCCCGUGCCGCAG
RNAcentral lists this ribosomal RNA (723 nucleotides) under uncultured bacterium. Its description in RNAcentral is "partial 16S ribosomal RNA". It matches the Rfam family "Bacterial small subunit ribosomal RNA", at positions 108 to 851 of the family's 1533-position model. The record is from RNAcentral.